AACGGCUGUGAACAAUUUAAGUUUGGAAUACUUAUAGUUUUUAUUAUGAUAUUUAUAUUUAAUUGUUUUGUUGAUAACCAAGUGCAUAUAUAAAGUGAAAAUAGAAACUAUAAAAUUAUCGAGAGCACUUAGUAGUUUUCUAUAAGUACUUAUUGUUUAUGAUGAAUAAUCAUGGUUCGACAGUGUAUUCUUAAUUACUGCCAAAGUUCAACAAGAACUACGCAAGACCGUCAAUUUUUUCGUUUUCCAAAAAAAGAAGAAAGUCGAAAAUUGUGGUUGCAAAAUAGUAAUGUUGUAGCUGAAAAUGUGAAAAAAUAUUCAGUUUUAUGUGAUAUAAGAUUUUGUCUGAUUAUACUAAUUUUUAAUUGAUUUUAAACUAAACUAAUAAAUAUUAAAUGAAAUAAAUCAUUUGUAGAAACGUUUUUCCGAAGACUGUUGGAAGAUAGUAGAAGGAAAGAAGCGUUUAAAAAACACUGCAGUACCUACUAUUUUUAUCCAAUCUAGUAUUUUAACAGAUAAAAAAGGUAUUACAUUAUCUUUUAAUCAAAGUAUUUUGAAAAGAAAAG
This is a long non-coding RNA of Polistes dominula (European paper wasp), 566 nucleotides long. NCBI's taxonomy places the organism in Eukaryota, Metazoa, Arthropoda, Insecta, Hymenoptera, Vespidae. The record is from RefSeq and is a predicted model, not a curated record.